AUCAACAUCCCCAUUACCUCAUCAGACAAGGGAUAGGUUUUGGUGCAGUGGACCCUCUAAAUUUCUUCAUUUUAACGUUAAAUUUAGGGUAAAAUUAAUUAAAAUUGCAUGUCUAAAAUUGUCGCUCUUCUGGAGCACAGUGCCAAAAGUACCAUUUGAUAGAAACACGAGGGCUGCAAAAAUAUAAUGACUUUCCAAGCUUCAACGGGUAAAAAGAGCAAAAAAAAACCUGUCUGGAGUGUUUGGACUUUGAAGUUUAAGUCGUUAAACAACAGCAGAGAGAAUCCACAAGGAAAAAAAAGCAAAACAAACCCACUUUCCUCUUCCCUAAAACUCUCCAUUCCUUCUCAAACUUCGCUAGGUCUGAAGACCAUGAAUGGAUCCGGAACCGGCAGCCGAUGCGUGCAAUUCCUCCUCCUUCUCACAAUCCCGUUGUUGUUUGAUUCAGUUCGGGCAAAGGACGACGACGGAAGCAACAAAGCCGGUGGCUCUUCGGUAGCGCUGAAGGUAGUGAUUGUGUUGCUGGGCGUGGCGGCGGUGGUUGGGUUCGGUGUGUUUCUGUUUAGGAUAUGGCAGAGGAAGAAGAGAGAGGAGCAGCACGCCAGGCUUCUCAAGUUGUUUGAAGACGACGAUGAGCUCGAGGUCGAACUUGGAAUUAGGGAUUGAUUGAUUGAUUCAAUUCAGGGCAUAUUUUAUUCCCUGUAGAGCUGAUCCAAUCCCAGCAGUUGAUUGGAGAUGAUCCAUCACCCAUGAAGUUGCGACCUCUUACAUAUUCCCAAUCCCAUAGGCUUAACAUCAACAAGCAAUCUGCUUUUGAAACUGCUGGGAAGCCUCCAUGGGUAAUACCCUUUCCUUUGAACUUCAUAUAUAAAGAAAAAUGCUCAUGUGGUGCUGUCAUAUAAGUAGUGGUUAGUUUCUAAAUUGCUUCAUGACCUUCUCUGUUGUAUUAGCCCUCCAUUUUGACACAUUACACAUGAUUCUCCUCAUUGGACUGCCAUUUUAUGCAAUGCUUUUUCCCCUCCUACAUUAAGAUACUUAUUGAAUUUGCGUUUCUGAGUAGGAGAUUGUAUAGCCUGAGACUGGUUAUUUAUAAAUUUUAGUGUAUGGUGUGGUUCCUAGCAUUCCUUGCUGAAUAACAAGGACAAUAUUAGUAGGAUUUCCUUGCUAAUAAUGAGAACAGUAUUAAGUGCG
Molecule: long non-coding RNA, 1191 nt
Organism: Rosa rugosa (rugosa rose)
Lineage: Eukaryota; Viridiplantae; Streptophyta; Magnoliopsida; Rosales; Rosaceae
Exons: 2
Source: RefSeq, a predicted model, not a curated record